CUCUGCCCCACACCUGUGCCACUUCAGAGGCUGCAAGGCAUCACGCUCCAUAACACAAGGAAGCCCAUCACCUUCUCCACCCAUCUAUGGCUGCUGAGAGCCCCCCAGGCCUGCGACCCACACUUCACCAUUCCUCUUCUGCCCGCCUGGGGCAGCACUGGAGGAGGAAAACAGGGCAGGGGGAACAACGACAACAACGAAGAGAUUUUCCCAGCGCUGCUGAGCAGGAGAAGCCUGCAAUGGACACCUCCCUACAUCCAGCCCCGAGCAGCAGGAGAGGAAUGCUCAUCUGGAAGGGUAGGGAUGCUCCUUCAUAGGAUAAGAAGAGGGGAGAUGGGUGUGAGCACAGCUGCUGGGAGCAUCAGGCCAACAGCAUGAGCUCUCCCUCCACAAAGAGCCUUCCCGUGAACCUUUGCUGAAAACACUGAUUUCUUUUGCAAAGUGGUUUUGUCAAUGGCUUCCCUCAUCAUCACAGAGCUGCCGGAGCCCACAGCCCUGUCCAGAUGGGAGCACACCUGGAACGCACAGGUCUCUGCCUUUCAGAUCCUGGCCCAAGAAGCCACCCUACUCACUCAUUUUGUGCUAACAAGGAGCAGCACUCCGGGCAGCACCAGGCUGCAGAGACCCAGCACAGCCUCUCCUGACCCAGCCAAGGGCACCCAGCACCCCAGCAGCCUCCCAGCAGUGAGCCUGGAGGAAUCCGAGUGUUUGGGAAGGAAAGCAGAGCUACAGAGAGACAAUGUUGAAUGUAAAUAUCAGUUAAAUAUGCAUUACCAUA
Molecule: long non-coding RNA, 778 nt
Organism: Gallus gallus (chicken)
Lineage: Eukaryota; Metazoa; Chordata; Aves; Galliformes; Phasianidae
Source: Ensembl